UACGGAGGGUGCUAGCGUUGUUCGGAAUUACUGGGCGUAAAGGGCGCGUAGGCGGCCGUUUGCGUCGGAUGUGAAAGCCCUGGGCUCAACCUGGGAACUGCAGUGGAUACUGAGAGGCUAGAGUGUGUCAGAGGAUGGUGGAAUUCCCGGUGUAGCGGUGAAAUGCGUAGAGAUCGGGAGGAACAUCAGUGGCGAAGGCGGCCAUCUGGGACAACACUGACGCUGAGGCACGAAAGCGUGGGGAGCAAACAGG
RNAcentral lists this ribosomal RNA (253 nucleotides) under uncultured bacterium. Its description in RNAcentral is "partial 16S ribosomal RNA". It matches the Rfam family "Bacterial small subunit ribosomal RNA", at positions 524 to 776 of the family's 1533-position model. The record is from RNAcentral.